AAAAAACACUAACGGAGUCGAACCGGACCCACCUCCCUCGUUCUCUGCGGCGAGCCGGCGACGGUUGCUCCCCCCUCGCAAGCAGAUCCUGACCUCACCAAGCCGGCUCAUCUCGCCGGACGUCGCCUCCUCUCCCCCUCGAUCCGCCCGCUGCGUCGCCUCCUUCUAUCCCUCCUCCUCGCCCACCCCCCCCUCCGACCGCCGCCUCAUAUCGUUCAGCACGGCGGCGGGCUAGCAGCGCGUGCGACGGCGGUUCUUGAGGCUCUCUGCAGCGACUAUUUGUUUACUCAUAUCUGAGUAAAACUGUAAAACUGGUCUGAGAAUAUUGGUAUCGGGAACAGCUGAUGGCCUCAAGUACUGUGAUCUUAUGGAAGGGAGGGGCCCAGCCGCUGAGAAGGGCUCAACAGUAGAGCAUCACCGCUGUGUCGAGCCGUGAGGCUCAGCUCCUGGCGGGCAACCAGAGUAGCGCACAGGUUAUGUGGCAAACCAGAGCUGACUUUGAAGGAUUGGAGGAUGAGGUGCUGUUUUGUGUUCAUUAGCUAUUGGGAGCGCCUCAUCAAUCAAACAUGUCAGACAUGUUGGAUAUUGCUGUAGACUACAUCAAAGUGUCGCAGGAUCAAAUUGACGUAUGCUCCACAGCUGUUCUAUCUUACACACAACUCCAGAAGUCCUUGUUAAAAAGAUAUCUUUUAGCUUGAUACCAUGGGGAUCCUCCAUCAGUGAAGAAUGUACAUGUAUAUUAUUUUGAUGGACCAUUUGACGAGGUUACCUCUCUUGGACAUGGUAAAAUAAAAUUUGUCAAAUCAAACUUGUCAGAGCAUGGAUUCCUCUUCAAGGUAACCUGGCUAAGUCCAUGCAGUCUAAGUUCCACCUGAGAUUUUUUUUAACAACUUAAAAAGGGCACUGGUAUUUCCUCUGGUAUGGUCUAUGGUGAUCGAGUAUCUGAGCAAAAUGGAGAAAGAAGCUGUAAGAAGUUAAGUAUUUUUCUUACCAUCUUCUUGGAAUCAUACUGUUGCUAUGUGAUUUCCCCCUAAUUUGCUAUUGGUUAUUGCUGCCAGAUGCGUCUGCGAUCUCCUCGAACUAAUACUGGAUUCCAGGAGCUCUUAUCUCAGAGAGCCAACGGAUGCCGGAAAGAACGACUACUAAAACCAUUGCUGCAACCCAACCUCUCCUCAACACCACCGUCAUCGGUACAACCUCACCAUGUGCCACGAACCUAUUAACUUCCUUGACCAGAUGGCAGGCCGUGCCUUGAUAUGUCAACCUUGAUGGUGAUGGACACCAUUCACAACAGACGUGCACAAUGCAGUUGGUCUGCACAAGAAUGGGUAGGUUCGUCCACUAUGAAGCUGAAGCAAUGUGUUUCAUCGUUGUACUAAUUAAAGCCUUUAGAGCUUCCGAUCAUGGACAAGUUGUCGCUACCCACCAAAGAAGAUUUUAUCGGUCUCAUCACCGAGUACCAUCCUAGUUCCAAGUUGUGCAUUGACCAUCAUCCAAACUUCCGACGUUGCGUUCAUAAAGUUGCCGAAUAGCCGUUCAGGUACUGGGGGUUAAGUUUCUCAUCGAGUUCUUGUCAGCAAACGACCAGACUUCUAUCAUCACCUCCCUGCAGGUCUUAUUAGCUGUUGUAGGGCAGGCGAACAAAGCAUGAAUUCAUGCUCUGAUCCUCAACACCACAGAGGCUGCAGAUUGCCAAAACGUCAAUAUGACGCCUGUUCUUAUGGUUUAGGGUGUACUAUCUGAUAUGGUUUUUCUGGUUUUCUUACUUCACUAGUCACUAUAUACACUACCUUGAAAGCCCUGCGACGUUAACACUGUAUAUAUGAUGAAUGCACCAAUUGUUUAAUCUCACAUGGUGCGGUGAUUAGAGCAAGCA
Brachypodium distachyon (stiff brome) is the source of this 1876-nucleotide long non-coding RNA. RefSeq lists it as uncharacterized. The record is from RefSeq and is a predicted model, not a curated record. NCBI's taxonomy places the organism in Eukaryota, Viridiplantae, Streptophyta, Magnoliopsida, Poales, Poaceae. The transcript is spliced from 5 exons.